RNAcentral lists this long non-coding RNA (333 nucleotides) under Homo sapiens (human). Its description in RNAcentral is "non-protein coding lnc-MON2-3:1". Lineage: Eukaryota; Metazoa; Chordata; Mammalia; Primates; Hominidae. The record is from RNAcentral.
UUUUUUCAACUUCGGCGAGGUCGGGAAGUCCGUUCAUGCAGAGUUACCAAGGUUGUCACGUUGAGAUGCUGGACUUGAAAUCUGGAGUCCUGCUUCCUGUGGCUAGAUAAUCCUGGGUCUGUGCGUCUUAUAAAUGGAAAUGAAAGGACCUGCCUUUCCUGUUGUUGAGGUCAUCGGGAAGAUCAAAUAUUUGAGAAGUACUUCAGUUCAUGGAAGCAGCUAUCUCCUUCACUUACUAGCAGUAAGACUUUGUUUUCAUCUUCGAGUUUCAAAUUCUUCACUGUAAAAUCUUGGUGAUUAAACACAAUGCAGUUGCUGCAAAGAUUAUAUAAA